RNAcentral lists this long non-coding RNA (6600 nucleotides) under Homo sapiens (human). RNAcentral's name for it is "HSALNT0290751". The record is from RNAcentral. Lineage: Eukaryota; Metazoa; Chordata; Mammalia; Primates; Hominidae.
AAGUUUACAGCAAGUAUUUAGUCAUUGAGCUAUCAUUCAAAUCAUAAUAACUAGUCUUUACAAAAUAGAGCCCCAAAGUGCUAUAGAUAAAAGGUUUUCAUUUUGCUUUGCUUUUUAACUUUGGUGUUGUCUCUUUUCCUUUCUUUCUUCUCCCCUCAUCUUCUCUCUACCCUAUGGUCUGUUUUGGAUUUUUCUCGUUAUAUAUAAGCUUUAACUUUUGCUUUUCUUCUUUUUUUCUCCCCCUUUCUUUUUGAAUGGUUUUAGCAUCCUUGGGCGCAGAAAACUCUGGAAAUGUAUUCAUAAGUUUAGAAAUUAUAUAAGACACUUCAGAAUGAUAAUACUUAAUUAUUUUAGAAAUUUCCAUUUUGAAUUAUAUUGUUUAGGGGGAGGGCUAUUAAAGUGUUCUCUGCCAAUUUAUGAUACAUUUUAGAUUUCCCAGUUUUUUUCUGGAUAUCUGUCAGGAGAUGGUGUAGAGGUUUGGUAAGUAAUACAGUUUGAUUUUGUAUGUCUCAAGGGUUACUCAUUCAGUCACAUAUUUGAGUUUAUUUUAUUCUGGCCUUUUUCCCCUCUGGGGAUUCUAUUUAUAGUAUUAAUUGAAAAUCUUUAUGUUAAUGCUAAUUUUGAUUUUUUUUUCCACUAGCAUGUAUUGGAGCACUCAGGCUUGAAGAAGGACAUAGCUGCUAAGAUAGAUAAUGGUUAUUGCAAAAUGCACGUUUUUAAAUGGUCUCCAGUGUGGAUUGCUUCUGAGCUGCUGAUGGAUUGAAUACAUUGAGAAGGAAUGUGUCAUUUGGAAUCCAGGACCAGUCAGCAAGGAUAACUGCCUGAUUUUAUGAUUUCGUGACUGAUGCUGAAAUGGAAGCCAACCACUGCAGAAAUUUGGGGGAAAAUGAGAUCUGAAGAAUACAAGGGGAAGUAGGAAUUCAUUUCUAGCAUUUCCAAACCUGCUUAAUCGUGUCUGCUCCACCACAGUCAGAGGAAAAGACUGAGUUCAUGGAAAUUACCAGCUAAGCCUUACAUCUGUCUUUAAUGUUUUUAGGAAGUAUACUGAAAAGGUAAGUGAGAUGUCUGUUUUGAAGAAAGACUCUUACUGGGUACCUUAAAACCCGUUGUUUCCUAUUAGUAAAGAUGGGCAGCUUCUUUAUUCCUAGCUUCAAAAAGCCUUGCCCCUGUUUGGUGUGUUUCUCAGUAUUGUGGAGAAGGUAGUUUCUGAGCAAGGUGGUGCUUUUCCUCUGCUUCUCAGCAGCUAAGACAGAAAUUGCACCGAAGUGUACAAAGGGCCAAUUUUUGUUGUCCUGUUGUGCUCAAAUCCUUUUUUUUAAAAAAGUUAUUUCAAUCAAGUCUUAGUUUUAUUCCUCACUAUAUAGGAAAAAAAUCUUUAAUGCCUCAAAAGUUCCAUUCAGCAUUACAUUUGCAUUACUCUUAUUUGCAGCAAAUAUGAGUAAAAUUAUAGGUUUUUAAAGGUCUCUAAUAACAUCCACUUAUAUUGGUUUUGUAGAUAAUCCAUAAAUUACCAGAAAUAAAUUAUUCCACAUUUAUUACACACCCAUGUAAUAGAUGUCGUGCCAGGCCCUGGAAUAUACUAAUGGCAUCACCUCAUGUGGUAAAAAGACACAUUCCGCCAUCCUGGAGUAUACAAAGGUAGACUAGCAUAUAGUUCAUGUGCUCAAGGAGUUCAUUUUUAUUGACAUGAUACAGAUAGAAUUGUAGUUUAGGGAAUCAAAAUCUAAUAAAAUGAGGCUAAUUCCAUUUUCCCAUUAACACUAAUAACUAGUGUGUAAAUCUGAAUAUGACACAUUCUAUAUGAAAGAAGCUCUGUGUGCAUCUACACUAAAUACUCGUGUGUGCCAGGUACUGUUUUAAACUACGUAUAUUUUUUUAAUUCUCAUAACUGUUCUCUGAGGUAUGUACUAAUACUAAAGCUUAUUGUUAAAGGAAGGCAGAAAAAUUAAGUAACUUGGCCUAAGUUUGCAUAACUGUGAUCUGGGAUCAAUAUUUGAACCCAUACAGGCUGAUUGCAGAGCCUGCACUCUUAAUUUGAGUGUGAUAUUUAUGUGCAGUACCUGGCUAUAAGUACCCACAAAACGUUUCAAAUUCUUUAUAAAAUUUGCUUAGUUAAAAAAGUACCAAUUGCAUAAUAUGGUUAUAAGUCUGGUAGAAGUUAGGCUUUUUACAAGACAUGCUGCUUACUGCACCAAGGAGGCAAGAAGGCUUUUUAGAGAGCCCAGAAUUUCCUUUCCUCAACUCCUGCUUCCAAGACAGUCAUUUUGCAUGAUAACCGUUUCCCCAAAAAACACAGACACAAAAUUUAAAGAACUGGAACAGAGGAAGCAGAGCUUAUCAUAGUAUAUAUGUUUAGUACCCUGUCACUUAGGUCCACCCCUCUUUCUUUGUGGAUUGUGGACAUUUUGUUUAACUGCUAAAUCAUGAGAAUAUAUGACUGCUGAGACUUUUCCAAGGAUUUUUUAAAAAACACAUUAGGCUUUGUGCAGAAGUAAAGAAAAAGUGCUGUGAGAACCCCAGGUAGGUAAUUUACUUUCUAUUGUACUCAUAGUUUGUUUGAAACCUCUUCACCUCUAUCCCUUAUUGUUUUAUACUCUGUAAAUCUGAUUUUACCUUUAAUAAACUUUUCUGAAGUGAGUGAGUUUUUUUUGUCUUAUUUCCCAUUAGAUUCUCUACCUUCUUUGUUCACUUUACGUAUGUUAUUGCCACUCCCUUCAAAACUGGUGGUUUAAUUAAAGUGACAGCAUCUUCUAUAUACCCAGUACUGUUGAGGAUUAAAAAAUACAUGUGUGCCGGAUGUGGUGGCACACACCUAUAAUCCUAGCACUUUGGGAGGCCUCAGGCAGGAGGAUUGCUUGAGCUAAGGAGUUCGAGACCAGCCUGGUCAACGUGGCAAAACCCCAUCUCUACUAAAAAGACAGAAAGUUAACUGGGCCUGAUGUUGUGCACCUCUCACCCCAGCUACUUGGGAGGCUGAGAGGUGGGAGGGUCACUUGAUCCUGGGAGGUCAACGCUGCAGUGAGCUGAGAACAAGCCACUGCACUCCAGCCUGGGCGACAAAGCGAGACCCUGUCUCAAUAGAAAAAAGAAAAAGUGCCAAGGCUUUGCUCCUAGUUCGGUGCAGGUUCCAACCAGUACUAAAACUUUGCAAAUUUUUGAGGGAAAAACCAGAAGUUGUAGAAUCAAUAUGAGCAUUUAAUUGUAUAGCAAGCAAUUGUGGCAGAAAAAAUUCACCCUAGUGAAAUCAAGUUAACUAUUCUGUGAAUGAGAUUAACCAGAGGAACAAUUUUGACCAUGUAUCUUUUAAAUCACUGUUUCUCAAACUUCAGUGUGUAUGGGAAUCACCAGGGAUCUUGUUAAAAUGCAGAUUUUGAUUUAGUAGGUCUGGGGUCAACCUGGAGAAUUUGAAUUUAUUUUCUCUUUUUUUAAAAGUAGUUUGAAAUAUAUUUCACAUACCAUAAAAUUCACUCUUUAAAACUGUCCAAUUAACUGUUUUUUAGCAUGUAGAGUUGUUCCACUAUCACCAUUCUAAUUUCAGGACAUUUUCACCGUGCUGAAAAAGAAACCUUGUACCUAUCACUCCCCAUCCCCCUCUCCCUUCCACCCUUUUCCCCUCCACCAGCAUCUGGCAACUGUUAAUCCACUUUCUGCCUUAAUUUAUAUCUUCUGGACAUUUCAUAACGUUUUAUAGACUUCUGUACCUGGCGUCUUUCACUUAGUGUUCAAGGUUCAUCGAUGUUGUAGCAUGUAUCAGUACUUCAUUCCUUUUUGUGGCUGAAUAAUACUCCAUUGUAUGGCUAUAGCACGUUUUCUGUGUCCCUGCAUCAGUUUCCAUUUUUUGGCUAUUAUGAAUAAUACAGCUAUGAACAUUUAUGUACAAGAUUUUGUGUGAAAGUAUGUUUUCAUUUCUGUUGGGAAUAUACCUAGGAGUGGAAUUAUUGGGUCAUAUGGUAACUAACAUUUUAAAGAACCGGGAAACUAUUUUCUAAGGUGGCUGGACCAUUUGAGAGUGCAUUCCUGACAAGCAUCCAGGUGAUACUGAAUAGCAGGCUCUAGAUUACAUUUUGACAUCUAUCAAGAAAACAGGAACAUGAACUUUAACUGAGUUCAGCUGCCAAAAUCUGGCCAGCAGCAAAGAAGGUGGGGUGGUUUUGGUUUUCAUAGGGCCUUGGUACCUCCGAUUUUCUACCAUUAGUCUUAAUGUACCUGGGCUUAUUGUUCUAGCCUUCGAACUCUUCAUGUAAAUUGAUAUAUCUGCUAUCUAAAAAAGAAAGAAUAUUCAUUUUUAGUUGAAAGAGGCAUUUCUAAGAUGAGAAUGGCCAUACUGUCAGUGUGGUAACACUGUUUUUGAUAGUGUCCUGAAAGCAUGUUGAUCCUUUCUAGGUGCCAUCAGAGAAGGAAGGGUAUGCUGGUGGAGCAUGCACACAAAUGAUUUAAUACAUUGUAGUGCAUGUUGGGAUAGAGCAAAGGAGGGCAGAUUCAAGGAAGACUUCCAGGAGACGAGUCCUGAACUCAAUCUCUUAAUUCAUUCAACUAAGAUUUAAUGUAGGAGAUCUAGAUUCUGUGGGGGUUCAGAUGAGGUAGGGAUUACUUCUGUUUUAUAUGAGGUAGGAUGACAAUGGGGGUAGGUGGUAGUAGAAAUUAGAAUAUUUCUUUGGGAUGAUACUUGAAGUAAGCCAGGAUUUUAGAUACAGAGGUAUAUGAGAAGGGUGUGUUCUAAGAUGAUAAAGCAGAAGGAACUAAAAUACAGAAGUCAAAUGGCACGACGUAUACCAGCUGUAUUUACUGAAAUAUGCCUAGAGGUGCUGUGUUAAGCCUCAGGUACACAAAAACAUAAAACAUGACCCUGCCUUCAUAAUUAGAACUCAAGUGAGAUGUUUGAAGUGUAAUACAAUGUGAUUUGUAUGAAAAAUCACAUUGUGUGUGUGGUAGGAGGUAUAGAUUAGUUUUUAAGAAGGCGUAAUUUUCUUGACUGGUGGUUGGUUCUGUUUGGUUUGACUCAUGGGUGCCUGAAAUAAAAGGAGUAGGAAAUACAGAUGUAAAGGUAAGUUGGGCUGUUAUUUACUGUUGUUUACUUUGGCAGAAAUGGUCUAAAAAACUAAGCAUGUGACGAGUAAUGAGAGGGGAGCAGCAGGAGUCUGAGUUUGGGUUCCUUUUCUUCCAUUAGUUCCUGUGUGACUCUCCCUUGUGAUCAUUGAUCUUUACUGGAGGUACAGAGUACCUGGUCUGGUCCUCAGUUUUAAGAAAAUGAAUUACCUAGUAUACUCCAAGGCCCAACUUCUGUACCCCAUAGUUGGAAAUUGUCAGCUUUCCUACAAAGAUUGAUUUAUGAGCUGCUCUUUAAAGCAACUUCUUAUAACAUUUUCAACCUUUUGACUGUUCACAAUUAAGAGUCCUUCAAUCUUUUCCCAUCCCAAUAGAUGAAAUGGCAAGACAAAAUUUCCAUGAGUUAUAUUGGACAGGUUUCUAUGCAUUACCUGUUGUUGCAUAACAAAUUACCCCCCUAAAACUUAGCAGCUUAAAACAAACAUUUAUUAUCCUCUACAAUUACUCUGGGUGAAGAAUCCAAGAGUCACUUAGCUGAGUGAUUCUGACUCUUAAGAGGUUGCAGGCUGGGUGCGGUGGCUAACACCUGUAAUCCCAGCACUUUGGGAGGCCAAGGUAGGAGAAUCGCUUGAGCUCAGGAGUUCAAGACCAGCCUGGGCAACAAUAGUGAGACCUCGUCUCUACAAAAAAAUUUAAAAAUUAGCCAGGCAUGGUGGCACACACUUGUAGUCCCAGCUGCUCGGGAGGCUGAGGUGGGAGGACUGCUUGAGCCCAGCAGAUCGACAGGUUGAGGCUUCAGUGAGCUGUGGUUGUGCCACUGCAUUCCAGCCUGGGUGACAGAGGAAGACCAUGUCUUUUUUUUUUUUUUUUUAAAAAGUAAUCUGAAGGCUUGACUAGGGUUGCAGGAUUUGCUUUCAAGGUGGCUCACGUGCAUGACUACACCUCACUUCCUAGGCAAGUGGACUUCUGCAUAUACUGAAUAUUCUCAUGUAGCUGGCUUCCCCCACAAAGUGAAUAGGAAGACUCCAUUUCCACAGUAUCUCAUUGACCACACAGGUCAACCCUCUUCAGUAUGGGAGGAGACUACCCAGGGCUAGAAUACCAUGAAGUGAGAAUCAUCAGGGCCACCUUGGAGGCUGGCUGCCAAAACUUAGGAUGAAUUUGAGGCUACUUUCCUAUUAAGUGUAUAAAGCUGACCUUUGACAUGCAAACUUAGUAAUACCUAUUUAUGAUUCCUGAUACACUUUAAUACUCUAUAGUGAUUUCUUCAGAAGCAUUUUGACCUAAAUGUAAAUAUAUCAUUCACUAUGCAUACAUUUUUCUAAAAGGGAGUUUAAUAUCUACACCAGGAUGAAUUGUAGUAUGUUUUAACAUAUGUAAGGUGCUCAGUACUUGCUCAACUAAAGCCAGGUGUGGUCAUGCACACCAGUGGCACUUGGAAGCUGAGGCAGAAGGAUUGCUUGAGCCUGGGAGCUUGAGGCUGUAGUGUGCAAUGUUCAUGCCUCUGAAUAGCCAUUGCCCUUCAGCCUGAGCAACAUAGUGAGACUGUUUUUU